This 377-nucleotide ribosomal RNA is filed under the name uncultured bacterium. Its description in RNAcentral is "bacterial SSU rRNA". It matches the Rfam family "Bacterial small subunit ribosomal RNA", at positions 521 to 896 of the family's 1533-position model. The record is from RNAcentral.
UAAUACGUAUGGUGCAAACGUUGUUCGGAAUCACUGGGCCUAAAGAGCGCGUAGGCGGUUUGAUAAGUCAGGUGUGAAAUCCCUCGGCUCAACCGAGGAACUGCACCUGAUACUGUCUCACUCGAGUGCAGGAGGGGAGAGUGGAAUUCCUGGUGGAGCGGUGAAAUGCGUAGAUAUCAGGAGGAACGCCGGUGGCGAAAGCGACUCUCUGGUCUGCCACUGACGCUGAGGCGCGAAAGCCAGGGGAGCAAACGGGAUUAGAUACCCCGGUAGUCCUGGCCCUAAACGAUGGGCACUAAGUAGAGGGAGUUCCGAUGCUGUCUCUGCUGAAGCUAACGUAUUAAGUGCCCCGCCUGGGGAGUAUGGUCGCAAGGCUG